RNAcentral lists this long non-coding RNA (3053 nucleotides) under Sus scrofa (pig). RNAcentral's name for it is "lncRNA (ENSSSCG00055011439.1)". The record is from RNAcentral. Lineage: Eukaryota; Metazoa; Chordata; Mammalia; Artiodactyla; Suidae.
ACACUUCAUCGCGUGGAGGGUGCAGGACAUUUGUGCUCUUCUAUAUGAGAACGGGGUGUGGGCAGGGGUGGCCAGCGGUAGCAGAGAGAUUCCUUGUCUUCUCUGCAAAAGCAAGGUGGGUAGUUUGGAGAGAGACUGAAAGAAAAAGGGUGGAUGUGGAAGCCAAGCAGCCGAACUCUCUCAUUUAGGAAACCGCGAACCGUUUGCACAGCUUAUGCUCACAUGCCUAUUACUACUACAGCGUCUCAGAAAACACCUUUGGGGGAAGGUUUGACUUGCCUCGAACAGUCUCAGUGUUUUUCCUCGCCGGACAGGGAGCUGCUUGGAUGCGAAGAGAUGGCAUGAUGUGAAUGACUCCAGUGUGAAGAAAUCUUCGCCAACUCAUCCUGCAUCAAGUGCCCAUUGAGUAGCACUGUCACUUUAAUGUCUCCAUGCCAAGGGAUUGCUUUCCUUCUAUUCAAUCCUCUCGGUUAAUACAUGGGAGGAUCAGAAUCAGAGGGGCAUUAAGGAUCAAGCCUGAGGGGCUUGGAGAGCACAGAAGAAAAAAAUGAAAGUGACAGCAAGCUGGAUUCUGUCUUACUGAGGGGGUGAGAUCCCGAACUUGUGGUCCAGUAAACAGAAGGGGGGGGGGGCCUUUCAGUCUGUCUUCUGCCCCAGAAAACUGUCGAAACUCACCCACCUUUUUAGAGGCUAGAGUCAAAGAGGUUUUUUAAAGCAUUUUUUUUUGGAGGGGGUGUGAGGGUUUUACGUUUUUCUCUAAAGAAUUGAGGGUAUUAACUACCAACCAGUUCAUUUUUGAAUUUGAGCAUGUAUUAAGUAAUGAGACAGCUGUGUAAAUUUGGUUUGUGCCUUAAUUGAGUUAGUCAUUGAACUUCCAAAAUGUUGCUGCCUGAAGAGGAGUUUUAAUAAUGUUUUCUACGCUGACAAUAAUUUUCUUUUUAAACAAAAUAAACAUUUUAUAAACACCGAAAAACUCAAAAGCUAUUUUUCUUUAAACUCUGUGGGCAGCAGUGUCAAAGUUUGUGGGAAGAAUACAUCAUUUUUUCCUUAUUUGAAAGAGAAGACAGCCUGGAUUUCCAACAGUAAAGUGGUUUGCAACAGUUACCUGGCUCUUGGCCUCCAUCCAGCUGGAUCAAGUUGAUACCUGAAAAGAGAUCCUGACUCCUGUGGCCUUCGAAAGACCCAAGAAUGCCAGUCAAGAAGAGAGACACUGACCGAGCUUUAUCAUUACUGGAAGAAUACUGCAAAAAAUUAAGGAAACCAGAGGAGCAGCAGUUGAAGAAUGCUGUUAAGAAGGUGAUGGGAAUCUUUAAGAGCAGCUUAUUCCAGGCUUUGCUAGGUAUGUAUUAAAAACUAUUUAUCACGUUAAUAGAAUUGGACUUAAUAGUUCAAGUAAUGUAGUCAAAGAACCUGAUGUUAAACCAAAUUUAAAAUUGAAAUAAUGUUUUUUGAUAGUAAAAGAAAAGAUUUGAGUUUUUUUUUUAAAUUUUCUUAUUUAAGGUUAUCCUAAAAAAGAAUAGCUGUAAAUUAGAAAAAAAGUUUUUAAAAAAGUAAAUAUUGAAAGAAUGUUUUGGAUAGGAAGACACAUUUACACAGGAAAAAAAUUGGAGUAGUUUAUUGCCAAAAAUUGAGGACAAAUAUGCUAGAGAAGGAAGUUACCUUCUUCUGGAGAAGGGUUUGGGUAUCACAAAAAGUAAUGAGUCACAUUUUUAUCAGAAUCAGAGUUCUAGUUUUAGUUUCUUUUAAGACAAAAAAUGUUUUUUCAUCUUUUUUUGCUUCUCUUAAGAAAUUUCGUGAUUCUAAUGGCAAAGUUUAUUGAUGAAAAUCUCAAUGCUUUGUCAGUUUUUCAUGAAUCUAACUACAUAAUAUUUUACCUUAUGUUUAUUCUUGAAUUUAUUAAAGACUGUAAAGAAAGUCAGUGAUAUGGUCUCUUUGUAUAUGUCUUUAUACAUAGUUUUUGCAUUUAUGCAGAUAAUUUUUAAUCCUCUUUUUCAUAUUUUAAGAGUUAAACUAGCAAAAGAUAUAAACAAAUACCUUCCCUCAAGAAAAACAACCAAUUAACAAAAAAACCCCACCCUAUAGAUUUUACUGGACUUAAAUAGUACAUUUUAAAGAAAUAAUUGAUCCACCAGACAUUAUCAUUACUUUUUCAGAUCUGAUGGUUAUUGAUAUGAAAGCUAAAAAUGUGAAUAUAUGAGGACUAAUCUUGAAAAUAGCUGUUUUUACUAUAAUGUCUACACUUGUUGACAAAACUACAACUUUAUGGUCUGAAUAUUUUCAGUAAAAAUAGAAGUAAAAAGCCUUAUAGGAUUAUUUUGCCUGUGGAUUAAUUUCUUUAAAAUAUUUGUUUAUGGCUGAUAAGAAUUAAUGACACAAAUAGCUCUAAUCAUCUUAGCUGGUAUUAAAUAAAAACAACUCUAAAUGCAGUCUUAUAGAAUUUAAAUAAACCCUGUCAUUAGAGAAUAGUAUUUUAGAGAACAUUUUUAAGCAAUAAAUUUCUCAAUUAAAAAUUCAUAGUUUUAUCUAGUUAAUACAUGGUAGAGGCCAUUAACUGAAUGGCAGUGCCUCUAAAUAGACCUAUAUGAUGUACUUAGUUAAGACCAGCUAAGUCUUUUGAGAGUUUGAAUUUUUGAGAACUCGCUUUAGCAGGAAUAUUGUUGGAUGCUUUAGAUAAUUCUACUAUACCUUGGUAAUGUAACCAUUUGGUAAUGCAAUAUUGUUACCUGGGAAGUAAAAGGACACAUGAAUGACAAAGAGUUGCAUUUUGCCAUUGUUUUAAGUGAGUGCUAAAUAUCUUGGCAAAAAGCCUAUAGUAUAGUUUGAAUUUCACUAAUAAAAUGAGAAGCAGCGAUAAUCUGUAAAGAGCUGUUACGUAAGUAAUCCUGAUGCCCAGCUUUGAAUGAAUAGAUUUGCUUUGGCUGGUCUUUUAAGUCAUUUUAGGAUAAGCCAGAGCACAAAGAGGGGAGCAACACUGUACAACAAAACGUAAUUUUCUAUUGAAUUCUAUGUGGGUUGCUAAAUACUGACUACUAAUUUACUAUUACUGAGUGUUU